UGCGUAGGUGGUGGGGUAAGUCUGAUGUGAAAUCUCCGGGCUCAACUCGGAAAUGGCAUUGGAAACUACCUUGCUAGAGGGUUGGAGGGGGGACUGGAAUGCUCGGUGUAGCAGUGAAAUGCGUAGAUAUCGAGCGGAACACCAGUGGCGAAGGCGAGUCCCUGGACAACUCCUGACACUGAGGCACGAAAGCUAGGGGAGCAAACA
Molecule: ribosomal RNA, 207 nt
Filed under: uncultured bacterium
Lineage: Bacteria
Description: partial 16S ribosomal RNA
Rfam family: Bacterial small subunit ribosomal RNA
Source: RNAcentral